GGCGCGAUGGCGGAGAGGCUACGCAGCGGCCUGCAAAGCCGUGUACACCGGUUCGAAUCCGGUUCGCGCCUCCA
RNAcentral lists this transfer RNA (74 nucleotides) under Rhodospirillales bacterium. RNAcentral describes it as "tRNA-Cys". It matches the Rfam family "tRNA". From Rfam's summary of the family: Transfer RNA (tRNA) molecules are approximately 80 nucleotides in length. Their secondary structure includes four short double-helical elements and three loops (D, anti-codon, and T loops). Lineage: Bacteria; Pseudomonadati; Pseudomonadota; Alphaproteobacteria; Rhodospirillales. The record is from RNAcentral.